RNAcentral lists this ribosomal RNA (120 nucleotides) under Secale cereale subsp. segetale. Lineage: Eukaryota; Viridiplantae; Streptophyta; Magnoliopsida; Poales; Poaceae. The record is from RNAcentral.
GGAUGCGAUCAUACCAGCACUAAAGCACCGGAUCCCAUCAGAACUCCGAAGUUAAGCGUGCUUGGGCGAGAGUAGUACAAGGAUGGGUGACCUCCUGGGAAGUCCUCGUGUUGCAUUCCC